This 497-nucleotide ribosomal RNA is filed under the name uncultured bacterium. RNAcentral describes it as "partial 16S ribosomal RNA". It matches the Rfam family "Bacterial small subunit ribosomal RNA", at positions 28 to 507 of the family's 1533-position model. The record is from RNAcentral.
GAUGAACGCUGGCGGCGUGCCUAAUACAUGCAAGUCGAGCGAACAGACGAGGAGCUUGCUCCUCUGACGUUAGCGGCGGACGGGUGAGUAACACGUGGAUAACCUACCUAUAAGACUGGGAUAACUUCGGGAAACCGGAGCUAAUACCGGAUAAUAUAUUGAACCGCAUGGUUCAAUAGUGAAAGACGGUUUUGCUGUCACUUAUAGAUGGAUCCGCGCCGCAUUAGCUAGUUGGUAAGGUAACGGCUUACCAAGGCAACGAUGCGUAGCCGACCUGAGAGGGUGGUCGGCCACACUGGAGCUGAGACACGGUCCAGACUCCUGCGGGAGGCAGCAGUAGGGAAUCUGCCGCAAUGGGCGAAAGCCUGACGGAGCAACGCCGCGUGAGUGAUGAAGGUCUUCGGAUCGUAAAACUCUGUUAUUAGGGAAGAACAAAUGUGUAAGUAACUAUGCACGUCUUGACGGUACCGGGUCAGAAAGCCACGGCUAACUACGUG